RNAcentral lists this ribosomal RNA (497 nucleotides) under uncultured bacterium. RNAcentral describes it as "partial 16S ribosomal RNA". It matches the Rfam family "Bacterial small subunit ribosomal RNA", at positions 899 to 1397 of the family's 1533-position model. The record is from RNAcentral.
ACUCAAAGGAAUUGACGGGGGCCCGCACAAGCAGUGGAGCAUGUGGUUUAAUUCGAUGCAACGCGAAGAACCUUACCCAGAUUUGAAAUUAAGAGGACGAUAAUAGAAAUGUUAUUUCCCGCAAGGGUCUUUUAACAGGUGCUGCAUGGCUGUCGUCAGCUCGUGCCGUGAGGUGUUGGGUUAAGUCCCGCAACGAGCGCAACCCUUAUCAUUAGUUGCCAGCACGAAAGGUGGGAACUCUAAUGAGACUGCCCGGGUUAACCGGGAGGAAGGUGAGGAUGACGUCAAGUCCGCAUGGCCUUUAUAUCUGGGGCUACACACGUGCUACAAUGGUCGGUACAGAAGGCAGCAAGACCGCAAGGUGGAGCAAAUCCGUAAAGCCGAUCUCAGUUCAGAUUGUAGUCUGCAACUCGACUACAUGAAGUUGGAAUUGCUAGUAAUGACGUGUCAGCAAUAACGUCGUGAAUACGUUCCCGGGCCUUGUACACACCGCCCGU